AGGGAUGUAGCGCAGCUUGGUAGCGCCUUUUUUUGGGUCAAAUCACGGGUUCCAAUCCUGUCAUCCCUA
This 69-nucleotide transfer RNA is filed under the name Tussilago farfara (coltsfoot). Its description in RNAcentral is "tRNA-Pro". It matches the Rfam family "tRNA". Rfam says of the family: Transfer RNA (tRNA) molecules are approximately 80 nucleotides in length. Their secondary structure includes four short double-helical elements and three loops (D, anti-codon, and T loops). The record is from RNAcentral. RNAcentral also lists the same sequence under 3 other names. Lineage: Eukaryota; Viridiplantae; Streptophyta; Magnoliopsida; Asterales; Asteraceae.